ACAAACCGGAGGAAGGUGGGGAUGACGUCAAGUCAUCCAUGGCCCUUACGGCCUGGCUACACACGUGCUACAAUAGGUCGGUACAAAGGGUUGCCAAGCCGCGAGGUGGAGCUAAUCCCAUAAAACCGAUCGUAGUCCGGAUCGCAGUCUGCAACUCGACUGCGUGAAGUCGGAAUCGCUAGUAAUCGUGAAUCAGAAUGUCACGGUGAAUACGUUCCCGGGCCUU
This 226-nucleotide ribosomal RNA is filed under the name uncultured Pseudomonas sp. Its description in RNAcentral is "partial 16S ribosomal RNA". It matches the Rfam family "Bacterial small subunit ribosomal RNA", at positions 1158 to 1382 of the family's 1533-position model. Lineage: Bacteria; Pseudomonadati; Pseudomonadota; Gammaproteobacteria; Pseudomonadales; Pseudomonadaceae. The record is from RNAcentral.